UGUGCACCUGAGUGAUUAAAUAUUUGUGCAGAAAUGUGGUUGAACACCCAAUGUAACCUGUCCCCACCCUUUUUGUCUUAUGGCAUGCCAGAGCUCCAUCACAACCAGUUUCAGGAGAGAACGACUAACAGUGAAAACAAACGAGAAACAGGAAAGUCCAGCUACCGUAACUUUUGACCUCUUGAGUCUGUGCAAAGGGGUCGUAUGUCCAACUCGCAGUCCAGUCCAGGACAGUACCUGAGCAACGGGAGUGACCCAUACAACGGGCAGCCGUAUCUCUCAGGCUUCAUCUCUCUGCUCCUACGUGCCGAGCCGUACCCCACGUCUCGCUAUGGAGCCCAGUGCAUGCAGUCCAACAACCUAAUGGGCAUCGAGAAUAUCUGUGAAUUGGCCGCCCGUUUGCUCUUCAGCGCCGUAGAGUGGGCAAAGAACAUCCCUUUCUUUCCUGACCUACAGCUCAUGGACCAGGUGGCGCUCUUGCGUAUGUCGUGGAGUGAGCUGUUCGUUCUAAAUGCUGCUCAGUGCUCUAUGCCACUGCAUGUAGCGCCCCUGCUGGCCGCUGCCGGUCUACACGCUUCCCCCAUGUCAGCCGAAAGAGUGGUGGCCUUCAUGGACCACAUACGUGUCUUCCAAGAGCAGGUGGAGAAACUGAAAGCCCUUCAGGUAGACACGGCCGAAUACUCCUGUCUGAAGUCCAUCGUACUCUUCACCUCUGCAUUUUUCAUCGCAGACACGCAGCGAUUCCAAGCCGGUGCCACAGAGGUUGAUUGAAGCCCCAUCCAACUUCUCACCUGCAGCAUUCUGCUCUGUGGAUCUCACUCAAGGGAAAUUCAACAUCUACAUCUGCAAUUCUACAGAAACUGCAUAUCAGCGCCCCGGCAACCAGUAUACUGCAUAGCAACACCUUAGUGGUGAGUUUUGCACAGACAAUCACCACUUGUUUUUAUUUAGUACAAUUUAGUACGUCUUGUUGUAGUGCAGGUGAUUUUUGCUAUAUAGCACAUUAUUUAUGUGCCACUACUGUAAUCACAAGCUAUUUUAAAAGUUUCAUAUUUUUAACUGUGCAGUUAUGCAUU
Sinocyclocheilus rhinocerous is the source of this 1076-nucleotide RNA transcript. It is a transcript of the gene named nuclear receptor subfamily 2 group F member 5-like, with no coding region annotated. The transcript has 5 exons. The record is from RefSeq and is a predicted model, not a curated record. NCBI's taxonomy places the organism in Eukaryota, Metazoa, Chordata, Actinopteri, Cypriniformes, Cyprinidae.